This 352-nucleotide RNase P RNA is filed under the name Rhodospirillales bacterium. RNAcentral's name for it is "RNase P RNA component class A". It matches the Rfam family "Bacterial RNase P class A". Rfam says of the family: Ribonuclease P (RNase P) is a ubiquitous endoribonuclease, found in archaea, bacteria and eukarya as well as chloroplasts and mitochondria. Its best characterised activity is the generation of mature 5'-ends of tRNAs by cleaving the 5'-leader elements of precursor-tRNAs. The record is from RNAcentral. Lineage: Bacteria; Pseudomonadati; Pseudomonadota; Alphaproteobacteria; Rhodospirillales.
CUAGGCAAUUGGACUGUCGCUACUUUAAUUAGUAGAGGAAAGUCCGGGCUCCAUAAAGACACGGUGCCAGCUAAUGGCUGGCGAGGGUGACCUUAGGGAUAGUGCCACAGAGAAUAGACCGCCUAAUCAAGGCAAGGGUGAAACGGUGUGGUAAGAGCACACCGGUUUUUUGGUAACAAAAAACGCACGGCAAACCCCACCGGGAGCAAGACUAAAAAGAGAUGACAUUGCGAAAGCUAAAAACGGUCUUUAGUUAGUCAUCAGGGUUAGUCGCUUGAAUUUAAGCGUGAGCUUAAAUCUAGAUAAAUGACGUCUUAAAUGACAGAACCCGGCUUACAGAUUGCCUAGCUUU